RNAcentral lists this unclassified non-coding RNA (282 nucleotides) under uncultured fungus. RNAcentral's name for it is "partial contains 5.8S ribosomal RNA, internal transcribed spacer 2, and large subunit ribosomal RNA". Lineage: Eukaryota; Fungi. The record is from RNAcentral.
AACGCACAUUGCGCCCUUUGGUAUUCCGAGGGGCAUGCCUGUUCGAGCGUCAUUUCAAACCUCAAGCUUCGGCUUGGUAUUGAGCGGCUCGCCUUCGCGUCUCGCGGAGGCGCCCUCGAAACUCGUGGGCGGUGAUGUCCAGCGUCGUAGCGUAGUCAUAAACCAUUCCGCUUCCGACAGCUCCUGGACGACUCACCCGCCGGGCGAACCGACGGCCCUCGCGGCGGUCAUUUUUUCUUAAGGUUUGACCUCGGAUCAGGUAGGGAUACCCGCUGAACUUAA